Molecule: transfer RNA, 85 nt
Filed under: Felis catus (domestic cat)
Lineage: Eukaryota; Metazoa; Chordata; Mammalia; Carnivora; Felidae
Also listed under: 1 other name
Rfam family: tRNA
About the family: Transfer RNA (tRNA) molecules are approximately 80 nucleotides in length. Their secondary structure includes four short double-helical elements and three loops (D, anti-codon, and T loops).
Source: Rfam by way of RNAcentral
GCCUGGGUGGCUCAGUCGGUUAAGCGUCCGACUUCAGCUCGGGUCAUGAUCUCACAGUUCGUGGGUUCGAGCCCCGCUUCAGGCU